Pelobates cultripes (western spadefoot toad) is the source of this 1486-nucleotide non-coding RNA. Lineage: Eukaryota; Metazoa; Chordata; Amphibia; Anura; Pelobatidae. The record is from the annotation of a GenBank genome assembly.
AGUAGAAUAGCUCACUUCAGGCAUUUUUUUAUGUAAAGGUAGUGUUUACAUUGCCUCUAGGAACACCUCCAAAUGGCCACUGGAGGUGGUGCUGAAAAAACAGCCCUGACGUUCGGCAUCCCUGCGCUCUGCAUGCAGGCACAGAAUUUUACUCAUAGAUGCAUUAUUAUGUUAUUAUUUAUAUAGCACCAACAAAUUGUGCAGUGCUUUACAAUGCAUUGAUUCAAUGCAUCUCUUUGAGGAAGUCCUGAUUGGUCAAAAAAAGCAUUUGGCCCCGCUCCCGUGCUGAUUUUAGCCAAUCUAAUGCUUUCCCAUCGCCAAAAAUUGGCCAUUUUGAUGAUGUCACAAAGGGGGCAGGGCCAGUGCCAGCUGACCCGCACGGCGCUGGAAAUAGUCAGUUUUAAAAACUUGUGUGGGGGCAAGCCACCUAAAUGGUGGGAUAAACACUAUAGGGUCAGGAAUACAUGUUUGUGUUCCUGAUCCUGUAGUGUUCCUUUAAGCAUAUGCGGACAGGAAAAAAAAUUAAUGCAAGGACUUUUCUCCCGCUAACAGAAGAUCAGGGCGGUCAGAGCAGAUUCAUCUUUUUUUAUUUUACAUUGAAUUUAUAUUCCUCUGCACAGUUCUGCAAAAACAACUGUGUGGUGUGAAUCCAAAAUGAUAGGUUCUUUCCAGGUGAAGAGUAAAAUAAAGCCAAGACUAAGUUUUACAAACAAAGGUUAAUCCUUUAUUGACCAAUUUGUUUAUUAACCACUUAUGGACCCCAUGAUGUCGAAUGCCUCCCAACUUUGGAAUGUGUGGGUGGAGUUUUGUGGGGGCUCGCCAGGGAUACAUGCUAUAAUGCCCACAGUGGGGUGGACUGUGUAAGUAAGGGGUGGUCUUGUUCAACAAGAGGACUGGCCAACCUGAAAAUGGGUAGGGUGUGCCAUCCGACAAGCAGCCUGGCAAGCCCCCUUCAAUCAGGACCGUAAAGAGAGCGCAGAUAAAGCGCUCCCUGCAUGGUCCUAAUGCUGCUACACAGCACAAGUACUAAUGAUUUGCUGCUGCACGAGGACAGUUCCUUGGUGUCCAGCCAAAAGCAGGACAGUUGGGAGGCGUGCUUUCAUGCCCAGUGACGCAGUAGACCAUCAUAUAUAUAUAUAUAUAUAUAUAUCAUAAAUAUCAUUGUGUGUGUGUGUGUAUAUUUUUUAAUGUAGACACAACUUCUUAAGACACGUGAGAUAUUUUAAUUUUACAACUGCUAUAGUUUAUGAUUACGGUACUGAUUUAAUAUACAUUUAAGAUGUAGUAUUGGAUGAUGUACAUUCAUUGUAUUUCCCUUGUUUUUGUUAUAGUUAUCUUUUCUGUAUUGUUAUUGAAAAAUAUAUUAAUAAUAAUAUUUGGCAUUAUUGUUAUUCUAUUGUUUUAUUGUUUGAUUAUUUGCUGUGUCUGCUUUGUGAUUUCAAUUUUUUUCACCUGUUCCAUCCUACCGCUACAUUACACCCUAGAG